Molecule: transfer RNA, 71 nt
Filed under: Loxodonta africana (African savanna elephant)
Lineage: Eukaryota; Metazoa; Chordata; Mammalia; Proboscidea; Elephantidae
Rfam family: tRNA
About the family: Transfer RNA (tRNA) molecules are approximately 80 nucleotides in length.
Source: Rfam by way of RNAcentral
GCAAAGGUGGUUCAGUGGUAGACUUCUCGCCUUCCACACUGGAGACCUGGGUUCAACUCCCGGCCAGUGCA